RNAcentral lists this ribosomal RNA (404 nucleotides) under uncultured bacterium. RNAcentral describes it as "partial 16S ribosomal RNA". It matches the Rfam family "Bacterial small subunit ribosomal RNA", at positions 28 to 526 of the family's 1533-position model. The record is from RNAcentral.
GAUGAACGCUGGCGGCGUGCCUAAUACAUGCAAGUCGAGCGAGCGGAGACGGGUGAGUAACACGUGGAUAACCUACUAUAAGACUGGGAUAACUUCGCGACACCGAAGCUAAACCGUAUCCUUAUAGAUGGCACCGCGCUGCAUUAGCUAGUUGGUGAGGUAACGGCUUACCAAGGCAACGAUGCAUAGCCGGCCUGAGAGGGUGAUCGGCCACACUGGAACUGAGACACGGUCCAGACUCCUACGGGAGGCAGCAGUAGGGAAUCUUCCGCAAUGGGCGAAAGCCUGACGGAGCAAUGCCGCGUGAGUGAUGAAGGUCUUCGGAUCGUAAAACUCUUUUAUUAGGGAAGCGGUACCUGCACAGAAAGCAACGGCUAACUACGUGCCAGCCGCCGCGGUAAUAC